Long non-coding RNA from Anastrepha obliqua, 453 nucleotides. RefSeq lists it as uncharacterized. The transcript has 4 exons. Lineage: Eukaryota; Metazoa; Arthropoda; Insecta; Diptera; Tephritidae. The record is from RefSeq and is a predicted model, not a curated record.
GCCAUUUGGAUACAUUGAUCGACACAUCGCAGUUUGGACCAAGGGUAAUUUUUGAGCAUAAUCUGCUCAAUUGGCAAGCGCAACAGGGAAUAAAAACACAAGCCAUUCACACUGAGGCAUGCGCUUUAUUGGCAAAUGAAUAUCGUGGCGAGGAAUCUUUUGAAGCAAUACUCAGUAAGUCGGCGGGUGGAUCACAAAUCCUGAAAUACUAUGCGCAAAAAAAGUGUCUCACUCCAAAGUAUAGGAAACUUCUAGCUGCAACAGUUGCAAAUUAUUUUAUUUCUGCUGAAGUACAUCCAAACCCUAAAACAUUUGAAGCUUUCGCCAAUAAAAUUGUGGAUUUAUUUACGAGUGAAUCUAAAGAUAUAUAUUACAUUCAUAAGAAAGGAAAAAAGCCAGGUGGAUCUCUGUAUGCUAAGUACCACAGUGUAUUAUUGAAACUUAGACGGGAUG